This is a long non-coding RNA of Athalia rosae (coleseed sawfly), 591 nucleotides long. RefSeq lists it as uncharacterized. The record is from RefSeq and is a predicted model, not a curated record. The transcript has 2 exons. NCBI's taxonomy places the organism in Eukaryota, Metazoa, Arthropoda, Insecta, Hymenoptera, Athaliidae.
AUGUCACAUGCGCUUUGACUCCAGCUUUUUACGGUCACAGGGAAACAGUUUCAACGUUAUAACAUUAUGCAGAGAAAUAAUUGUGUAAUUUCAAACAUCCCCCUCUACUACGGUUUAUCGUUCACAGGCAUUGAGACAGGAUAUUCGUUUCGACCAUCGGAAACACUGGACAUUGUGUGAAAUAAAGCAAUAUGCCGCGUAUGAAAUAUAGUACGAGUAACAACAAUUCCGCUCCAAACGAUGUACGUUUGAUUGAAUACAAUUAUGAAUAUCUAAUACAAUCAUUAAAGAGAAAAAGCUUGAGACGACGCGGCCGGAUACCGAUAAAAAGGAUAAAUAGAACGUACGCUUUGAAAAGGAAGAGAGAGAAAAAGAAAAGGAGAUAUUUCCUGUAUGCAGAGAUUUCUGAACAACGUGGAUUCGAAGAAAUUAUGAAAUUAUUUUACCGGUACUCGUUACGAUGACUAACCAGUGGACAGAGGUUCCCCAUGAUGCUCAACUAUUAGAAACUGCGAACAUGGUUAUUUUCACGUUCACGUUUUUCUUCGUUUCUACCUUUAAUUAUUGUACGAAUUUAAUUAUGGCAAAAUA